This is a non-coding RNA of Pelodiscus sinensis (Chinese soft-shelled turtle), 624 nucleotides long. The record is from RefSeq and is a predicted model, not a curated record. NCBI's taxonomy places the organism in Eukaryota, Metazoa, Chordata, Testudines, Trionychidae.
ACUUUCGACGCCCAGUAGGUUGCCACCCCCGAGUGCCCCAAACGCGCGUGGCCUCGGGCAUCCCUAAGCUCUCUGCCUUGUACAGUUGUCCCAAGACUUGCGAUCACAAGCAGCUGAAGCAGCAGAAGAAACAUAAUAAUCUUACUUGUGUGGAUUUUAACAAUAAAUUUCCUGCUGUUUCAGCCUCCUGCACUGCCCCCACAUCUCCAAUGCCCUGCCCUGACUUCUGCACCACCCACAGCAUCAGACCCAUGAGCAAAGGACAUGGGCAGCACUGGGUAAGUCUGCUAUGAUAUUUUUAAACCCAAAUAUUAAUUCGGUCACAAGAAAUUCUUUCACAUGGCCCUAAAAGUAAAUGUAAUUAAUUUGGUAGGUGGUUUGUUUUCCAAGCAACAAGUUGUCUCUUGCAAUAGUAAGGUAAGUACCAUCUACCCUACAAAUAAAACUGUGCUGAGGAAUUUGGUUACGAUAUGGCUCCAUUUUGUAGGCCAAAUUCUCUUUUAAAAACAUCCUCUGACCAAUAGUAAAGCCCUGGAUAAAUAAAAGUUAAGUCUUAUUAACACUUCAAAUUGGAACAGUAUCAUAACUGGAUUGGGACAACUGGAGUAUAAACAGAGAAAUCAC